Molecule: ribosomal RNA, 515 nt
Filed under: uncultured bacterium
Lineage: Bacteria
Description: partial 16S ribosomal RNA
Rfam family: Bacterial small subunit ribosomal RNA
Source: RNAcentral
GAUGAACGCUGGCGGCGUGCCUAAUACAUGCAAGUCGAGCGAAUGGAAUGAGAGCUUGCUCUUAUGAAGUUAGCGGCGGACGGGUGAGUAACACGUGGGUCACCUGCCCAUAAGACUGGGAUAACUCCGGGCAACCGGGGCUAAUACCGGAUAACAUUUUGACACGCUUGGUUCGAAAUUGAACGGCGGCUUCGGCGGUCGCGUAUGGAUGGAGCUGCGUCGCAUUAGCUAGUGGGUGAGGUAACGGCUCACCAAGGCAACGAUGCGUAGGCGACCUGAGAGGGUGAUCGGCCACACUGGGACUGAGACACGGCGCAGACUCCUACGGGAGGCAGCAGUAGGGAAUCUUCCGCAAUGGACGAACGUCUGACGGAGCAACGCCGCGUGAGUGAUGAAGGCUUUCGGGUCGUAAAACUCUGUUGUUAGGGAAGAACAAGUGCUAGUUGAAUAAGCUGGCACCUUGACGGUACCUAACCAGAAAGCCACGGCUAACUACGUGCCAGCAGCCGCAGUAA